CGUAACCUAUUGUCGAAGGCAGCUCACUAAACUAGCAACUGACGUUCAUGCUCGAAAGUGUGGGUAGUCAAACAGGAUUAGAUACCCUGGUAGUCCACACGGUAAACGAUGAUUGCUAGGUGUGGGGGGUCGUGACCCCUUCCGUGCCCGGAGUUAACGCAAUAAGCAAUCCACCUGGGGAGUACGGCCGCAAGGUUGAAACUCAAAGGAAUUGACGGGGGCCCGCACAAGCAGUGGAUUAUGUGGUUUAAUUCGAAGCAACGCGAAGAACCUUACCAGGUCUUGACAUCCGACUAACGAGAUAGAGAUAUGUUAGGUGCCCUUCGGGGAAAGUCGAGACAGGUGGUGCAUGGUUGUCGUCAGCUCGUGUCGUGAGAUGUUGGGUUAAGUCCCCGCAACGAGCGCAACCCCUGCCAUUAGUUGCUACGCAAGAGCACUCUAAUGGGACCGCUACCGACAAGGUGGAGGAAGGUGGGGACGACGUCAAAUCAUCAUGCCCCCUUAUGACCUGGGCUACACACGUAAUACAAUGGCCGUUAACAAC
RNAcentral lists this ribosomal RNA (544 nucleotides) under uncultured bacterium. RNAcentral's name for it is "SSU rRNA". It matches the Rfam family "Bacterial small subunit ribosomal RNA", at positions 703 to 1244 of the family's 1533-position model. The record is from RNAcentral.